GAUACUCUUUUAUUCAUUGAUAUGCUAUAAGACAGCUUUUGUACACAUAAAAUGCUUUUAAUAAUACUGGUUCUGCUUCAAGGGUUUAAACAAUAUUAAAAGGGAAGCAAAUGCAAUGUUUACAUCAUUCAUUACAUGUUGACCAUGAUCGACCUCCAGACUGGACUCUGAGUGUGCAGGUGUACAGUACUUCUGUUGCAAUCACAAUACAGCUGCAUACAAAAGAGAAGUGUGCCUUUGGUGAGAGGAUGAAGAGAAAGGAAAACGACAUUCUUAAACUUAGUCCUCUCAUCCAAACCUUUACCUUAAAAUUCACACAACAGCGAACCGUUUCCCCUCAAGCAUUGAAAUGGCAAAAGUUCAACAGACGGGUGUAAUAUUGAGUGGAAUCUGCCCUUAAACAAUGAAGCUGGGGAUCCUCAUGAAGACAGUGAAAACCAUCUCUGGUUUGUACAGCACAGUUUGAGGAAGCAACAGACCAUGGACUUACCAAAGACUUUAGAAGAGUUUAUGAACACACUUGUCUUGUGAAAUCUUUUCCUCAUUCUCAGUGGUGAUUCUCAUUACUAUAAAUAUUGUAAUAAAUGUACUU
Long non-coding RNA from Sinocyclocheilus anshuiensis, 592 nucleotides. RefSeq lists it as uncharacterized. Lineage: Eukaryota; Metazoa; Chordata; Actinopteri; Cypriniformes; Cyprinidae. The record is from RefSeq and is a predicted model, not a curated record. The transcript has 2 exons.